AACGAACGCUGGCGGCAUGCCUAACACAUGCAAGUCGAACGAUUGCCUUCGGGUGAUAGUGGCGCACGGGUGCGUAACGCGUGGGAAUCUGCCCUUAGGUUCGGAAUAACAGCUGGAAACGGCUGCUAAUACCGGAUGAUAUCGCGAGAUCAAAGAUUUAUCGCCUGAGGAUGAGCCCGCGUUGGAUUAGGUAGUUGGUGGGGUAAAGGCCUACCAAGCCGACGAUCCAUAGCUGGUCUGAGAGGAUGAUCAGCCACACUGGGACUGAGACACGGCCCAGACUCCUACGGGAGGCAGCAGUGGGGAAUAUUGGACAAUGGGCGCAAGCCUGAUCCAGCAAUGCCGCGCGAGUGAUGAAGGCCCUAGGGUUGUAAAGCUCUUUUACCCGGGAAGAUAAUGACUGUACCGGGAGAAUAAGCCCCGGCUAACUCCGUG
RNAcentral lists this ribosomal RNA (435 nucleotides) under uncultured bacterium. Its description in RNAcentral is "partial 16S ribosomal RNA". It matches the Rfam family "Bacterial small subunit ribosomal RNA", at positions 29 to 507 of the family's 1533-position model. The record is from RNAcentral.